UACGAAGGGGGGCUAGCGUUGCUCGGAAUUACUGGGCGUAAAGGGCGCGUAGGCGGGUCGCUAAGUUGGGGGGUGAAAGCCCAGGGCUCAACCCUGGAAUUGCCUUCAAUACUGGCGGCCUUGAGUAUGAGAGAGGUGUGUGGAACUCCGAGUGUAGAGGUGAAAUUCGUAGAUAUUCGCAAGAACACCAGUGGCGAAGGCGGCUCACUGGCCCGGUACUGACGCUGAGGUGCGAAAAGCGUGGGGGAGCAAACAGGG
This 258-nucleotide ribosomal RNA is filed under the name uncultured bacterium. RNAcentral's name for it is "partial 16S ribosomal RNA". It matches the Rfam family "Bacterial small subunit ribosomal RNA", at positions 524 to 777 of the family's 1533-position model. The record is from RNAcentral.